This 305-nucleotide ribosomal RNA is filed under the name uncultured bacterium. RNAcentral's name for it is "bacterial SSU rRNA". It matches the Rfam family "Bacterial small subunit ribosomal RNA", at positions 338 to 660 of the family's 1533-position model. The record is from RNAcentral.
CCUACGGGGGGCAGCAGUAGGGAAUCUUUCACAAUGGGCGAAAGCCUGAUGGAGCAACGCCGCGUGCAGGAUGAAGGCCUUCGGGUUGUAAACUGCUUUUAUAAGCGAGAAAUAUGAUGGUAACUUAUGAAUAAGGAUCGGCUAACUACGUGCCAGCAGCCGCGGUAAUACGUAGGGGGCAAGCGUUAUCCGGAUUCACUGGGUGUAAAGGGAGCGUAGACGGCCAUGCAAGCCUGGAGUGAAAGCCCGGGGCCCAACCCCGGGACUGCUCUGGGAACUGUGCGGCUGGAGUGCGGGAGGGGCAG